AAGAAUAUACUUCAGGGAUCAUUUCUACAGUUCAUUACUAGAGAAGUUUCUCUGUUUCUGUAGAGCACCCGAAACCAUGAGAGGAGCCAGAGAAUCAUCUCCUGAGCAUGAAACCUGCUCUAGAUGUUGCCUUUUACCAUUGAUGAUCAUUCUUCUCUUCCCUAGGAAAGGAAGAGGAUGCAGUCUGAGUGU
Molecule: small nucleolar RNA, 192 nt
Filed under: Sorex araneus (European shrew)
Lineage: Eukaryota; Metazoa; Chordata; Mammalia; Eulipotyphla; Soricidae
Description: Small nucleolar RNA U3 (ENSSARG00000016690.1)
Rfam family: Small nucleolar RNA U3
About the family: Small nucleolar RNAs (snoRNAs) are involved in the processing and modification of rRNA in the nucleolus. There are two main classes of snoRNAs: the box C/D class, and the box H/ACA class. U3 snoRNA is a member of the box C/D class.
Source: RNAcentral